CCUACGGGAGGCAGCAGUGAGGAAUAUUGGUCAAUGGACGAGAGUCUGAACCAGCAACGCAGCGUGAAGGAUGACUGCUCUCUGGGUUGAAAACUCUUUUUAUAAAGGAGUAAAACGAGGCACGUCUGUCUUCUUGCACGUACUUUAUGUAUAAGGAACGGCUAACUCCGAUCCAGCAGCCGCGGUACUACGGAGGAUCCGAGCGUUAUCCGGAUUUAUUGGGUUUAAAGGGUGCGUAGGCGGCCUUGUACGUCAGUGGUGAAAGUCUGUGGCUCAACCAUGGUAUUGCCGUUGAAACUGGGGGGCUUGAGUGUGUAUGAGGCAGGCGGAAUGCGGGGUGUAGCGGUGAAAUGCUUAGAUAUAACGCGGAACCCCAGUGGCGAAGGCGGCUUGC
RNAcentral lists this ribosomal RNA (394 nucleotides) under uncultured bacterium. Its description in RNAcentral is "partial 16S ribosomal RNA". It matches the Rfam family "Bacterial small subunit ribosomal RNA", at positions 338 to 729 of the family's 1533-position model. The record is from RNAcentral.